RNAcentral lists this ribosomal RNA (447 nucleotides) under uncultured bacterium. Its description in RNAcentral is "bacterial SSU rRNA". It matches the Rfam family "Bacterial small subunit ribosomal RNA", at positions 328 to 792 of the family's 1533-position model. The record is from RNAcentral.
AGCCCAGACUCCUACGGGAGGCAGCAGUGGGGAAUAUUGCACAAUGGGGGAAACCCUGAUGCAGCGACGCCGCGUGAGUGAAGAAGUAUCUCGGUACGUAAAGCUCUAUCAGCAGGGAAGAAAAUGACGGUACCUGACCAAGAAGCCCCGGCUAACUACGUGCCAGCAGCCGCGGUAAUACGUAGGGGGCAAGCGUUAUCCGGAUUUACUGGGUGUAAGGGGAGCGUAGACGGCGAUGCAAGCCAGAUGUGAAAGCCCGGGGCUCAACCCCGGGACUGCAUUUGGAACUGUGUGGCUGGAGUGUCGGAGAGGCAGGCGGAAUUCCUAGUGUAGCGGUGAAAUGCGUAGAUAUUAGGAGGAACACCAGUGGCGAAGGCGGCUUACUGGACCAUGACUGACGUUGAGGCUCGAAAGCGUGGGGAGCGAACAGGAUUAGAUACCCCCGUA